This 77-nucleotide transfer RNA is filed under the name Klebsiella pneumoniae. RNAcentral describes it as "tRNA-Arg". It matches the Rfam family "tRNA". Rfam says of the family: Transfer RNA (tRNA) molecules are approximately 80 nucleotides in length. Their secondary structure includes four short double-helical elements and three loops (D, anti-codon, and T loops). Lineage: Bacteria; Pseudomonadati; Pseudomonadota; Gammaproteobacteria; Enterobacterales; Enterobacteriaceae. The record is from RNAcentral.
GCAUCCGUAGCUCAGCUGGAUAGAGUACUCGGCUACGACCCGAGCGGUCGGAGGUUCGAUUCCUCCCGGAUGCACCA